CCUACGGGAGGCUGCAGUGGGGAAUAUUGGACAAUGGGGGGAACCCUGAUCCAGCCAUGCCGCGUGUGUGAAGAAGGCCCUCGGGUUGUAAAGCACUUUCAGUGAGGAAGAACGCCUGGUGGUUAAUACCCAUCAGGAAAGACAUCACUCACAGAAGAAGCACCGGCUAACUCCGUGCCAGCAGCCGCGGUAAUACGGAGGGUGCGAGCGUUAAUCGGAAUUACUGGGCGUAAAGCGCGCGUAGGUGGCUUGAUAAGCCGGUUGUGAAAGCCCCGGGCUCAACCUGGGAACGGCAUCCGGAACUGUCAAGCUAGAGUGCAGGAGAGGAAGGUAGAAUUCCCGGUGUAGCGGUGAAAUGCGUAGAGAUCGGGAGGAAUACCAGUGGCGAAGGCGGCCUUCUGGACUGACACUGGCACUGAGGUGCGAAAGCGUGGGUAGCAAACAGGAUUAGAUACCCGGGUAGUC
This 465-nucleotide ribosomal RNA is filed under the name Vreelandella stevensii. RNAcentral describes it as "partial 16S ribosomal RNA". It matches the Rfam family "Bacterial small subunit ribosomal RNA", at positions 338 to 795 of the family's 1533-position model. Lineage: Bacteria; Pseudomonadati; Pseudomonadota; Gammaproteobacteria; Oceanospirillales; Halomonadaceae. The record is from RNAcentral.